RNAcentral lists this unclassified non-coding RNA (576 nucleotides) under Hevea brasiliensis (rubber tree). Lineage: Eukaryota; Viridiplantae; Streptophyta; Magnoliopsida; Malpighiales; Euphorbiaceae. The record is from RNAcentral.
GUUUAAUUGAAUUUUUACUAAAAAUAUUGGAUUCAGGUAGUAUGUGUAUGGUAAUAAUCGGAUUUUCAAUGGGUACGAUUAGUGAUAUUUUUACACAGAUUUGGGUUUGGGUAUCCCAAUUUUUCAGGUACUCUAUGUGUUGCCAUCCUUAUAAAUAUCACUGAACUACAUAGUUUUAGGCUUUGCUUUUAAGUGUUGUAAUCCUAAACGUAAUUACCUCUACCUUAAAAUCUCUCUUAUUCCCCUAAUCCCCUCAGACCUGUUUCUCAUAUUUUGUUCUAGCCGCCUGCGGCCCCCUAGGCUUUCUCAGUCUUUCAGUCAUUCUUCCAGUCUCGGCCUUCUGUUUCUUUCCUGCAUCCCUUCACUGCUGCCUGCUGUGUUUUCUGGAAGAAGUUUCCUUCCAUCUGAUUAGCUUUCAGCUAUUAUAGCUGAUCCAUAUGAUUAUCAAUCUAAUUAGCUUUCAGCUAUUAGAGGUAACCCAUAUGAUUAUGAGUCUCAUUAGCUGAUGCAUCCCACAUUGGUUUUGCAAGGAGGUCUUGGGUGUUCUAUAUGUAGGUUUGCAAACCUCCCCUUGUG